This 271-nucleotide unclassified non-coding RNA is filed under the name Hevea brasiliensis (rubber tree). Lineage: Eukaryota; Viridiplantae; Streptophyta; Magnoliopsida; Malpighiales; Euphorbiaceae. The record is from RNAcentral.
GGCUAUCGCAAUUUGUUGAAGAAGAUUCACAUUCUGGGUAUUCGUUGAUCGGAAAACUACCGGUGAAGAAGAACAAGUCAGUGACGGAAAACCCGGUUCAGGUGAAUUCAUGUUUUACAGUUCCGGUUCAAACAAAGCCCAGAACUAAACGUCGGAGAAUCGGCGGUCGAGUUUGGUCUUUCACCGGUUCAUCUACUUCCUCUGCUUCUUCCUCCACUAUAACAACGACAGCUGAGUCAAUUGUACGAUUUCCGGCGUCGGUGAGUAACCG